AAAUGAUUAAAAGAAAAACCUAAAAUGGUUUCCCCCCUUGCAAUUCGGAAACCCAUUUAGGGAGUUAUCUAUCUACCUCUUCCAAAUCUGAAAACCCAAAAUCCCUCUAAAUUCCCCAAUUCCCUCUCCCAUUCCUACUUUACCCAAUUUCCUCUCCCUAAAAUUCCUCCUCAAUUUUGCUGCUUAUCUUCUAUUGCAAAUUCACCUCUUUCCUCAUUCCCCCUUUGGUUUAUUUGUUUAUUUAGAUACAUAGCAAAAUCAUUAGAAAUAUAGCCUCACCUACUCCGGCCAAAUUGUCUCACAGAAAGAGAACCACUCCCGUCGCUGGCGAAAUCUCUUCUUUCCGUCUCAUUCUCUGGAAAAUAGAACAUUGAGUUCCUUAUCAUUUUUUUUCUGUAGAUUUUGUGCUCUGUGCUCUCACGUGACCCAUUUUCUAUGUUUUGAUGGUAUGCUUUGUUGCAUUGGUGUAUGUUUCUGAAUCGGUUCGCCGACGUGGUUUUACACAUUUGAACCAUUUCUCUUCCAUCUUCCUCACCUGUUGAGGAUACUCCAUGGAAUCUACUCAACCAUCAUUUUUUGGGACUGGAUAUUUUCUUUGGCAGAUAGAUUUAUCCCUUGUUAGGGACACGUACUUGCACAAUCACAAAUGGAGUCGAACAAAGAGGAGCUUGAAGGCCCUUAAUAUUUUAUUUUUAUUUUUCAUAUAUGUGCACAAUGAUAAUGAAUAAUGAAGUAUUCUACUGUAUAUUUAAUUGCCUUUUAGUAAUGAAAGUAUUUAUAAUAUUCCGCUUGAAAAUA
Molecule: long non-coding RNA, 798 nt
Organism: Nicotiana tabacum (common tobacco)
Lineage: Eukaryota; Viridiplantae; Streptophyta; Magnoliopsida; Solanales; Solanaceae
Source: RefSeq, a predicted model, not a curated record